CAUUUCUUGCUGGGAGGGGGAGGGGAGAGAGAUGAGACGUUUUCUCUCUGUUUCUUUCCUCUCCAUUUUCUGCUCCUUCCUUCAAUUCCAGAAACCUCCCUUGUGUUUCAGACUGUGCAGUGAUGCCCUCCCUGCCCCAGGCCUCUGGAGCCUUUGGAGCAGAAAGAUCCCAGGAGCUGAGGAGGAAUCCAGGGAUGCAUUCAAAUGGCAGCUGUUUACAGGUCAUGGGCUGCUAGUUCCUGAGCAGGAGCAGAGUCUCUGAUGGCAGGUGAACUGUACAGAGGCACCUCUGGGUUUGCACUGACUAAGGACAACAGCUGUGAGUGGGGUGCAGAGAGGGGAUGGCUCAUGUUAAAGGACUUUUGGUUGCUGGACUUACAAAUCGUAGGGAGAAGGACACUGGCCAGCUUAUUUGGGGGUGGAUCUUUUCCUCAUGGUUUAUAUUUAUGUGUUGGGGCUGCUGACAUGACCUCUGCUAACCCUGGGCUUACGUUGCAAUGUAGACAUACCCUGAGAGGGCAUCUGUACUGUGACAAAAUCCCUGUGGCCUGUCUGGCCUGGAUGAUCUGAUUUGGAUUUCUGGGGCUCAGACUGGAGCCUAGACUCGGAGACCCUCACCCCUCGUGGGGUCUCGGAGGCUUGGCUCAAACCCAAGGGUCUACACUGUAAUUUUAUAACCCUGCAGCACAAGCCCCACAAGCCUCAAUCAGCUGACCCAGUGUUUGAGAAUAGUGACUUAGGUGUGUUAAUGGCAGUGUAGACAUAAUGCUAGGCUAUGUCCACACUGCAGUGAAACACCCA
Long non-coding RNA from Gopherus flavomarginatus (Mexican gopher tortoise), 801 nucleotides. RefSeq lists it as uncharacterized. The record is from RefSeq and is a predicted model, not a curated record. The transcript is spliced from 3 exons. NCBI's taxonomy places the organism in Eukaryota, Metazoa, Chordata, Testudines, Testudinidae.